Molecule: RNA transcript, 1684 nt
Organism: Neofelis nebulosa (Clouded leopard)
Lineage: Eukaryota; Metazoa; Chordata; Mammalia; Carnivora; Felidae
Gene: RPAIN
Gene name: RPA interacting protein
Exons: 4
Source: RefSeq, a predicted model, not a curated record
AGGGCUGCGCGCCCGGCGGGCGUGUAGUCGGGGCCGCCGAGACGGCUCCGCAGCUGCGGGAAGGCCAGUCCCCGGGCCACGGCCGGAGACUGUCUCUUAUUGCUGGCUGGACACCAACGCCUGGCUGAGCCUAGCCAUCCCUCAGGAUCUACCUCCCUCAGCCCGGGUUGGGCUGACCUCACAAAUGCCACUACUCGGGGUCGCCCUCAACUGUGUCUCCGGGAGGGGUAGGCCGAGGAGACUGCCCUUCCCGGAACUCCCCGAGAGCGAGAGCUCCGAGCGCCCGGAAACUACAAUUCCCAGGGCUCUGCGCGCCCCCAGGGGCGGGACUUCCUGGCGGCGACUCGCGCGGAGAGGAGAUGGCCGAGGCGCCGGGCUCGGGGCGCCGCUCGCUAUACAAGGCGACGGGUUCGCCGUCCUGGAAAGAGGCUUUUCGGCAGGGAUGCCUGGAGAGAAUGAGAAACAGCCGGGACAGGCUCCUGAACAGAUACCGCCAGGCAGGAGGCGGUGUGCCAGGGAGCGCUCAGAGCACCCUUCUGGUGCACGAAGUGAUGGAAGAGGAGUGGAGUGCGUUGCGGUCGGUGGAGGGCCGUCCAGAGGUCUCGGCUCAGUUGGAGGAGCCCGUGGACCUGGCUGUGCUCGAGGAGAUCCAGCAGGAGCUGGCCGACCAAGGUGUGCCCUGGGGUCAUCCUUCCGCCUGCACAUCCCUAUGCUAACGCAACGUUUGUUUAUUUUGGAGAGAGAAAGAGGAGGGGCAGAGAGAGGGGGACAGAGGAUCUGAAGCAGGCGCUGAGCUGACAGCUGAGAGCCUGAUGUGGGGCUCAAACCCACCAACCGUGAGAUCGUGAUCUGAGGCCAAGUCGGAUGCUUAACCGACUGAGCCACCCGGGCGCCCCGCUGCCCACUUUUCAGAGAGGAUUAAUUGUGCCUCCACGUUAGCUUCAGGCGGGUGUCAGAAGGCCCUGUUUUGACUUUCAAGUCUCCGCUAUCUGCCCGAGAAUAAGUCUUUUGGGCGCUGGGCCUUGUGCUCAGACUCUGCGUUCCGUGGUGUUGUUUUCUCCUGGUGGCUAGCGGACAAGGUACCCUGAGACAGAAGGCAGUGCUGUCGCGCCCGGGGGGGCGCAGCUCGGGGUGCGGCCGGGAAGCAGCAUCCGUUCCGUGGAACGCGGUCCCAUGUUUAUUCUGUGCGGCGGUUCCUUUCUGUUUACAGAGGAAUAGUACACCGAGCCCAGCUCCGUCCCAACGUAACUUUAUUUGAAAAGUCGGACGUGGGCUGUGGUUUGCUGACCCCCUGCGCUGCAGCCUAGACCGUGAGCUCAUCGAGAGCAGGGACCGGCGUCUUUCACCUCUGUCCCUCUUUCCUACCGCCUACGUCCUGGGCAUCGUGGCCCGCUUGCCGCAUGAAAGAACACAGAUUGUGCACGACACAGACCGAGCAUACGGACGCUGGAGAACAGGGCACUUCACACUCAGCAGGGUGGGCUGGGCGACGGCAGGAAGUGCCCUGUAAGUGUCCCCUCUCUCCAGCUGCCCCCCAGGGCCCUGACCCACCACGCUCUGCUCCCGCAGCCUCUGGAGCGAGCGGAGCAUCAUCGGCGAGUAUGAGAAGAGCUUGCAGUUCGACGAGCGGUGUCUCAGCAUCAUACUGGCCGAAUGGGAAGCAAACCCCCUCAUCUGUCCUGUG